This 492-nucleotide ribosomal RNA is filed under the name uncultured bacterium. Its description in RNAcentral is "partial 16S ribosomal RNA". It matches the Rfam family "Bacterial small subunit ribosomal RNA", at positions 29 to 507 of the family's 1533-position model. The record is from RNAcentral.
AGUGAACGCUGGCGGUAGGCCUAACACAUGCAAGUCGAACGGCAGCACAGUAAGAGCUUGCUCUUACGGGUGGCGAGUGGCGGACGGGUGAGGAAUACAUCGGAAUCUACUUUUUCGUGGGGGAUAACAUAGGGAAACUUACGCUAAUACCGCAUACGACCUACGGGUGAAAGCAGGGGAUCUUCGGACCUUGCGCGAUUGAAUGAGCCGAUGUCGGAUUAGCUAGUUGGCGGGGUAAAGGCCCACCAAGGCGACGAUCCGUAGCUGGUCUGAGAGGAUGACCAGCCACACUGGAACUGAGACACGGUCCAGACUCCUACGGGAGGCAGCAGUGGGGAAUAUUGGACAAUGGGCGCAAGCCUGAUCCAGCCAUACCGCGUGGGUGAAGAAGGCCUUCGGGUUGUAAAGCCCUUUUGUUGGGAAAGAAAAGCAGCAGGUUAAUACCCCGCUGUUCUGACGGUACCCAAAGAAUAAGCACCGGCUAACUUCGUG